RNAcentral lists this ribosomal RNA (551 nucleotides) under Lactiplantibacillus plantarum. Its description in RNAcentral is "bacterial SSU rRNA". It matches the Rfam family "Bacterial small subunit ribosomal RNA", at positions 37 to 537 of the family's 1533-position model. The record is from RNAcentral. Lineage: Bacteria; Bacillati; Bacillota; Bacilli; Lactobacillales; Lactobacillaceae.
UUCUCUAGGAAUGGCGGGGGCCUAUACAUGCAAGUCGACGAACUCUGGUAUUGAUUGGUGCUUGCAUCAUGAUUUACAUUUGAGUGAGUGGCGAACUGGUGAGUAACACGUGGGAAACCUGCCCAGAAGCGGGGGAUAACACCUGGAAACAGAUGCUAAUACCGCAUAACAACUUGGACCGCAUGGUCCGAGCUUGAAAGAUGGCUUCGGCUAUCACUUUUGGAUGGUCCCGCGGCGUAUUAGCUAGAUGGUGGGGUAACGGCUCACCAUGGCAAUGAUACGUAGCCGACCUGAGAGGGUAAUCGGCCACAUUGGGACUGAGACACGGCCCAAACUCCUACGGGAGGCAGCAGUAGGGAAUCUUCCACAAUGGACGAAAGUCUGAUGGAGCAACGCCGCGUGAGUGAAGAAGGGUUUCGGCUCGUAAAACUCUGUUGUUAAAGAAGAACAUAUCUGAGAGUAACUGUUCAGGUAUUGACGGUAUUUAACCAGAAAGCCACGGCUAACUACGUGCCAGCAGCCGCGGUAAUACGUAGGUGGCAAGCGUAAAA